This 405-nucleotide ribosomal RNA is filed under the name uncultured bacterium. RNAcentral's name for it is "partial 16S ribosomal RNA". It matches the Rfam family "Bacterial small subunit ribosomal RNA", at positions 28 to 526 of the family's 1533-position model. The record is from RNAcentral.
GAUGAACGCUGGCGGCGUGCCUAAUACAUGCAAGUCGAGCGAAGCGGGGACGGGUGGGUAACACGUGGAUAACCUCCUAUAAGAAUGGGAUAACUUCGUUGAGCCGGCGCUAAACCGGAUACUUAUAGAUGGAUCCGGGCUGCAUUGGCUCGUUGGUAAGGUAACGGCUUACCAAGGCAACCAUGCAUAGCCGCCCUGAGAGGGUGAUCGGCCACACUGGAACGGAGACACGGUCGAGACGCCUACGGGAGGAAGCAGUAGGGAAUCUUCCGCAAUGGGCGAGAGCCGGAUGUAGCAACGUCGAGUGAGUGAUGAAGGUCUUAGGACCGUAAAACGCGGUUAGCAGGGAAGCGGUACCUAAACAGAAAGCCACGGCUAACUACGUGCCAGCAGCCGCGGUAAUAC